This is a long non-coding RNA of Branchiostoma floridae (Florida lancelet), 673 nucleotides long. RefSeq lists it as uncharacterized. NCBI's taxonomy places the organism in Eukaryota, Metazoa, Chordata, Leptocardii, Amphioxiformes, Branchiostomatidae. The transcript is spliced from 3 exons. The record is from RefSeq and is a predicted model, not a curated record.
ACCAGGCGCAGGCUGCUCUUAAGAUUCUAAUUAAGAUGUAAUCUAGUUGAAGGGCCUCGUGUACGUUCUAUGUUCACCAACGUCCUGUGUGCCUUAAGGAUGAAGAACUGUAAAACCUAAGUGUGACGUAGGACCUCCAGAUCUCCGUCUUAAGUUACGGGAGGGGUGCAACGGCACAGGAACAGUUCUGCAGGCCAAACGUUUUGUGUGUAGAUGAAACAUUACACAUGAAACUGUUUCUACGCCACUGAGUGACGUAAAUCAUGAGAGAAUGGCUGCAUCACAUCAAUGCCAAACUGUCUUCAUAUGCCAUGCCGGAGAAAGCAAGCCAUUUGUGCGACAACUUGUCGAUCGCCUUAAAACCGACGGUCUGGAGGAGGACCAGAUUUUCUUUGAUGAGAGGUCUUUAGACACCGGUGAUGAAUUAGACAGCAUCGUCAAAGUCAUAGAGAGCCCCUCCCUGAAACUAUUUGUAUUUGUGGUCAGCAAGUACUGUUUUGAUGUCGAUAGAACUUGGAUCCGUACAGAAUGGGAAGCGGCGCUCGAGAACAACAAACAAAUCUUCCCAAUUUGGCUUGAUGACAACAAUGAUGAUUUUAAGGCAUUUGGCAACCUUGUCAGGAAGUUUUCAAACAAGCUGAGGAAGAUGAUUGCACAGAGGGUGAACCCGCAG